This is a non-coding RNA of Danionella cerebrum, 72 nucleotides long. NCBI's taxonomy places the organism in Eukaryota, Metazoa, Chordata, Actinopteri, Cypriniformes, Danionidae. The record is from the annotation of a GenBank genome assembly.
GGCUCGUUGGUCUAGCUGUAUGAUUUGUACUUAGGGUGUGUGAGGUUCCAGGUUCAAAACCCGGAUGAGCCC